GGAUGAAGAACGCAGCGAAAUGCGAUAAGUAAUGUGAAUUGCAGAAUUCAGUGAAUCAUCGAAUCUUUGAACGCACAUUGCGCCCGCCAGCAUUCUGGCGGGCAUGCCUGUUCGAGCGUCAUUUCAACCCUCGAGCCCCCCCGGGGGCCUCGGUGUUGGGGGACGGCACACCAGCCGCCCCCGAAAUGCAGUGGCGACCCCGCCGCAGCCUCCCCUGCGUAGUAGCACACACCUCGCACCGGAGCGCGGAGGCGGUCACGCCGUAAAACGCCCAACUUUCUUAGAGUUGACCUCGGAUCAGGUAGGAAUACCCGCUGAACUUAAGCAUAUCAAUAAGCGGAGGA
Molecule: unclassified non-coding RNA, 344 nt
Filed under: soil metagenome
Description: partial contains 5.8S ribosomal RNA, internal transcribed spacer 2, and large subunit ribosomal RNA
Rfam family: 5.8S ribosomal RNA (bases 2-121)
Source: RNAcentral